UCGGAUGUGGUGCACGGUGCACGUCAGCUCCUGUUAAUUCUUUGAUAAUAAUUGUGUUACAGGCUGAAGACCGGGGUUCGACUCCCCGCUUCCGAA
Molecule: non-coding RNA, 96 nt
Organism: Mycena rebaudengoi
Lineage: Eukaryota; Fungi; Basidiomycota; Agaricomycetes; Agaricales; Mycenaceae
Source: the annotation of a GenBank genome assembly